AUGGCCGGCACGGGCGACGACGCCGGGAUGGACGAGGUCCAGAGGCGCCUCAUGUUCGACGAUGAAUGCAUUUUGGUAGAUGAACAGGACAACGUUGUUGGCCAUGAAUCAAAAUAUACCUGCCAUCUGAUGGAGAAGAUUGAGUCUCUGAACCUGCUCCACAGGGCUUUCAGCGUAUUCCUUUUCAACUCAAAACAUGAGCUGCUACUUCAGCAAAGAUCUGCAACGAAGGUUACGUUUCCUUUAGUAUGGACCAACACCUGCUGCAGCCAUCCUCUGUACCGUGAAUCUGAGCUUAUUCAGGAAAACUUUCUUGGUGUCAGAAAUGCUGCUCAGAGGAAGCUCCUCGAUGAGCUGGGCAUCCCGGCUGAAGAUGUGCCUGUUGACCAGUUCACCCCUCUCGGUCGGAUGCUUUACAAGGCACCAUCUGAUGGGAAAUGGGGCGAACAUGAGCUGGACUACCUGCUGUUCAUCGUGCGCGACGUGAAGCUGGUCCCGAACCCGGACGAAGUGGCUGACGUGAAGUACGUGAGCCGGGAGCAACUGCGGGAGCUCAUCCAGCAGGCGGACACCGGCGAGGGCGGCGUGAAGCUGUCCCCCUGGUUCAGGCUGGUGGUGGACAACUUCCUCAUGGGCUGGUGGGAGCACUUGGAGAAAGGCACGCUCGCGGAGGCGGUGGACAUGGAAACCAUCCACAAGCUCAAGCUUUUGUUGUGCCAACGGGAGAUGUCUGUGGCAUUUAGCUUGCUCCGCUUUCCUGGUCCAAAAACAUCCACGGGCUGUCACAUGGAGGGCGUGCUACCCUGGAGCAAGGAAAGGAGAACCCAAGGCUGGCGGAAGAAAUUCAUGUGGUCUUCUUCCCAAUGA
This 867-nucleotide ribosomal RNA is filed under the name Triticum aestivum (bread wheat). Its description in RNAcentral is "partial small subunit ribosomal RNA". The record is from RNAcentral. Lineage: Eukaryota; Viridiplantae; Streptophyta; Magnoliopsida; Poales; Poaceae.